Long non-coding RNA from Micropterus dolomieu (smallmouth bass), 1038 nucleotides. RefSeq lists it as uncharacterized. The record is from RefSeq and is a predicted model, not a curated record. NCBI's taxonomy places the organism in Eukaryota, Metazoa, Chordata, Actinopteri, Centrarchiformes, Centrarchidae. The transcript is spliced from 3 exons.
UUGAGUUUGAUCACCACCGGAAAUAGAAUAUAUUCAAAGAGCGCCAGGAAGUGUUGAACGGCGCUCCGGAUUGGAUACCAAGAUGCCAAGCCUGGGAAGAAGCGGCAGCUCUGCAGCUACAUGUCCUCCCAAGACCUCAAAUUACUGAAAAGGUCUUUCAUUUUAUUUGCAGAGAAUGCAUACUCAAAGGCUUUAUAGUGGGCUAGGUAGUGGGAAUGUGGAGUUGUAAGGGUUGCACAGAAACGGUGUCAAGUAGGUCCAAUCUUUUGCAUCACUACAAGUUAAAGCAUCCACAUUUUGGACGUAGUUCUCGCUUACCAUGUACAUACCUGCACUGUCAAUGCACAUUUAAGACAUGGAAUGCCCUUAUAGUCCACCAAAGUAAAAUUCACUCCACAGGGGUCACUUGCAAAGAGGAAGCAAUAUUCAAUUGCCAACUCUGUGCUUGUAGUGAUUUAGCAUCAGAGAGGGAUUAUUUUGCUCAUAUAAAUGCACAUCUCAAAAGAAAUGAGACUGUCAUUUGUAUGUUUUUAGGUUGCGACUUUAAAACAAACAUUUAUUGCACAUUUAAAUCACACAAAAACCGAAAGCACUGCCAUCACACUUUGGUUGAUUUUAAACCUGGAGUAGUUAUACGUACUGGGAUAUCAUCUGUGAAUGAAUUGGAGGAAAAUACUCAGGAGUUUGUCGAACAGUCAAAUGUGGCCAUUCCUUCAAACAGUCCCUCUCAAACUGAGGACUUGCAGAAGAUCAUAGAGCAAAGAUUUGCAGCUGCUUUGCUGAAGUUGGAGCAUUUGGACCAUGUGCCCAGCACAGCUGUUGAUGUGUUUUUAGGAGAACUCCAUCAUUUGACUUAUUCUGCACCUGUUCCAUUAUCUUGUGACAUUGUGAGUUAGAUCUUUCAUCAGAGAAACCUCCCUCUCGAUGAACAUAUAAUCAGAGAAACUGUUAAUGCAAUUUGUUCUGGUAAUCCUAUUCAAAGGUCAAUACAAAAAGGUGGCCCUCUCAGUACCGCAUAUCAGCGUAAGAAGUAAUAUA